RNAcentral lists this ribosomal RNA (505 nucleotides) under uncultured bacterium. Its description in RNAcentral is "bacterial SSU rRNA". It matches the Rfam family "Bacterial small subunit ribosomal RNA", at positions 28 to 526 of the family's 1533-position model. The record is from RNAcentral.
GAUGAACGCUAGCGGGAGGCUUAACACAUGCAAGUCGAGGGGCAGCACGAUGUAGCAAUACGUUGGUGGCGACCGGCGCACGGGUGAGUAACGCGUAUGUAACCUACCUUGUACAGGGGGAUAGCCCGGAGAAAUUCGGAUUAAUACCCCAUAAUGAUAUUUGAAGGCAUCUUUAGAUAUUUAAAGUUUCGACGGUACGAGAUGGGCAUGCGUGACAUUAGCUAGUUGGUAAGGUAACGGCUUACCAAGGCUACGAUGUCUAGGGGUCCUGAGAGGGUGAUCCCCCACACUGGUACUGGGACACGGACCAGACUCCUACGGGAGGCAGCAGUGAGGAAUAUUGGUCAAUGGGCGUAAGCCUGAACCAGCCAUCCCGCGUGAAGGAAGAAGGCGCUAUGCGUCGUAAACUUCUUUACCGGAGGAAUAAAAUUUCGUACGUGUACGGGACUGAAGGUACUCCGGGAAUAAGCAUCGGCUAACUCCGUGCCAGCCGCCGCGGUAACAC